CCUACGGGAGGCAGCAGUAGGGAAUAUUGCUCAAUGGGGGAAACCCUGAAGCAGCAACGCCGCGUGGAGGAUGAAGGUUUUCGGAUUGUAAACUCCUUUUGUUAGAGAAGAUAAUGACUGUAUCUAACGAAUAAGCACCGGCUAACUCCGUGCCAGCAGCCGCGGUAAUACGGAGGGUGCAAGCGUUACUCGGAAUCACUGGGCGUAAAGGGCGCGUAGGCGGGAUAGCAAGUCAGAUGUUAAAUCCUAUGGCUUAACCAUAGAACUGCAUUUGAAACUGUUAUUCUAGAGUAUGGGAGAGGUAGGUGGAAUUCUUGGUGUAGGGGUAAAAUCCGUAGAGAUCAAGAGGAAUACUCAUUGCGAAGGCGACCUGCUAGAACAUAACUGACGCUGAUGCGCGAAAGCGUGGGGAGCAAACAGGAUUAGAUACCCUAGUAGUC
This 440-nucleotide ribosomal RNA is filed under the name uncultured bacterium. RNAcentral describes it as "partial 16S ribosomal RNA". It matches the Rfam family "Bacterial small subunit ribosomal RNA", at positions 338 to 795 of the family's 1533-position model. The record is from RNAcentral.